GAUGAACGCUGGCGGCGUGCCUAAUACAUGCAAGUCGAGCGAACGGACGAGAAGCUUGCUUCUCUGAUGUUAGCGGCGGACGGGUGAGUAACACGUGGAUAACCUACCUAUAAGGCUGGGAUAACUUCGGGAAACCGGAGCUAAUACCGGAUGAUAUUUUGAACCGCAUGGUUCAAAAGUGAAAGACGGUCUUGCUGUCACUUAUAGAUGGAUCCGCGCUGCAUUAGCUAGUUGGUAAGGUAACGGCUUACCAAGGCAACGAUGCAUAGCCGACCUGAGAGGGUGAUCGGCCACACUGGAACUGAGACACGGUCCAGACGCCUACGGGAGGCAGCAGUAGGGAAUCUUCCACAAUGGGCGAAAGCCUGACGGAGCAACGCCGCGUGAGUGAUGAAGGUCUUCGGAUCGUAAAACUCUGUUAUUAGGGAAGAACAUAUGUGUAAGUAACUGUGCACAUCUUGACGGUACCUAAUCAGAAAGCCACGGCUAACUACGU
This 496-nucleotide ribosomal RNA is filed under the name uncultured bacterium. RNAcentral describes it as "partial 16S ribosomal RNA". It matches the Rfam family "Bacterial small subunit ribosomal RNA", at positions 28 to 506 of the family's 1533-position model. The record is from RNAcentral.